GCAAACUUGGUCAUUUAGAGGAAGUAAAAGUCGUAACAAGGUCUCCGUUGGUGAACCAGCGGAGGGAUCAUUAAAGAGUUCUAUAACUCCCAAACCCAUGUGAACAUACCUAACGUUGCCUCGGCAGGUCGCGCCUACCUCGUAGUCCUACCCUGUAGGACUUACCCGGGAGGUGCGGAUAAGCCUGCCGGCGGCCCACCAAACUCUGUUUGAUAUUGAAUUCUGAACCUAUAACUAAAUAAGUUAAAACUUUCAACAACGGAUCUCUUGGUUCUGGCAUCGAUGAAGAACGCAGC
RNAcentral lists this unclassified non-coding RNA (296 nucleotides) under uncultured fungus. RNAcentral describes it as "partial contains small subunit ribosomal RNA, internal transcribed spacer 1, and 5.8S ribosomal RNA". The stretch from base 1 to 73 matches the Rfam family "Eukaryotic small subunit ribosomal RNA", at positions 1759 to 1831 of the family's 1831-position model. Lineage: Eukaryota; Fungi. The record is from RNAcentral.